Long non-coding RNA from Eubalaena glacialis (North Atlantic right whale), 261 nucleotides. RefSeq lists it as uncharacterized. The transcript has 3 exons. NCBI's taxonomy places the organism in Eukaryota, Metazoa, Chordata, Mammalia, Artiodactyla, Balaenidae. The record is from RefSeq and is a predicted model, not a curated record.
GCCUGGCGCUGGCCGGCGCGCAACCUGCUGCUGCUGCCGGGUGCCACCAGGCUGGCGGACGUACCCUCGACGCGUUGGCCCAACUGCUACGGCGCGCGCCCGCACCUCAUGUGGAAGCACCGGUGGCAGAAUAUUAACUACCAAUAUCUGGGCAAGAGGAAGAGACAUCUAGUUCCCCUGCGCCCGUGAGAGCCGGGGGCCCAGGUUCGAUCCCUGGUCAGGGAACUAGAUCCCACAUGCAUGCUGCAACUAAGAAACACA